GCACUAUAAACUCUGCUAGAUAAGGCAGGUGAAAGAAAAAGUCUUCAAGAAACAUGAGUAGAUUGGCUUUGACUGUGUAUAGUUUGGAGCACCAAGAUAAUCUAGGACACAAAGUUUAAACUUGAAGACCAGAGUGGAGUUAUUUAUUUGAAGUCUCUUUGAAUUCAUCAGACUCUGCCUUACACAACAGAUCUGUGAGAUAUAUAGGACAACAUAUUUAUUGUUACCUGCAUAGUUCAUCUGGAGGAUCAUGCAGUCAAAUUCUACACAUUAUCAAUGAUCAGUAAAUAAAC
RNAcentral lists this long non-coding RNA (293 nucleotides) under Mustela putorius furo (domestic ferret). RNAcentral describes it as "lncRNA (ENSMPUG00000024769.1)". Lineage: Eukaryota; Metazoa; Chordata; Mammalia; Carnivora; Mustelidae. The record is from RNAcentral.